CUGCAGCUCAAGUGGUGACCACUAUUAUUGGGCCUAAAACGUUCGUAGCCGGUUUGGUAAAUGCCUGGGUAAAUCGUGUAUCUUAACUAUACGAAUUCCGGGUAGACUGCCAAACUUGAGACCGGGAGAAGCUAGAGGUACUCCUGGGGUAGAGGUGAAAUUCUGUAAUCCUGGGGGGACCACCAGUGGCGAAGGCGUCUAGCUAGAACGGGUCUGACGGUGAGGAACGAAGCCCUGGGGCGCAAACCGGAUUAGAUACCCGAGUAGUCC
RNAcentral lists this ribosomal RNA (270 nucleotides) under uncultured archaeon. RNAcentral describes it as "partial 16S ribosomal RNA". It matches the Rfam family "Archaeal small subunit ribosomal RNA", at positions 477 to 747 of the family's 1478-position model. The record is from RNAcentral.